RNAcentral lists this ribosomal RNA (442 nucleotides) under uncultured bacterium. Its description in RNAcentral is "partial 16S ribosomal RNA". It matches the Rfam family "Bacterial small subunit ribosomal RNA", at positions 338 to 795 of the family's 1533-position model. The record is from RNAcentral.
CCUACGGGUGGCUGCAGUGGGGAAUAUUGGGCAAUGGGCGCAAGCCUGACCCAGCAACGCCGCGUGAAGGAAGAAGGCUUUCGGGUUGUAAACUUCUUUUAAGAGGGAAGAGCAGAAGACGGUACCUCUUGAAUAAGCCACGGCUAACUACGUGCCAGCAGCCGCGGUAAUACGUAGGUGGCAAGCGUUGUCCGGAUUUACUGGGUGUAAAGGGCGUGUAGCCGGGCUGACAAGUCAGAUGUGAAAUCCCGUGGCUCAACCACGGAACUGCAUUUGAAACUGUCGGUCUUGAGUAUCGGAGAGGCAGGCGGAAUUCCUAGUGUAGCGGUGAAAUGCAUAGAUAUCACGCAGAACUCCGAUUGCGAAGGCAGCAUACCGGCGCUCAACUGACGCUGAGGCACGAAAGCGUGGGGAUCGAACAGGAUUAGAUACCCCGGUAGUC